AAAUUGAAGAGUUUGAUCAUGGCUCAGAUUGAACGCUGGCGGCAGGCCUAACACAUGCAAGUCGAGCGGUAGCACAGAAGAGCUUGCUCUUUGGGUGACGAGCGGCGGACGGGUGAGUAAUGUCUGGGAAACUGCCUGAUGGAGGGGGAUAACUACUGGAAACGGUAGCUAAUACCGCAUAACCUCGCAAGAGCAAAGAGGGGGACCUUCGGGCCUCUCGCCAUCAGAUGUGCCCAGAUGGGAUUAGCUAGUAGGUGAGGUAAUGGCUCACCUAGGCGACGAUCCCUAGCUGGUCUGAGAGGAUGACCAGCCACACUGGAACUGAGACACGGUCCAGACUCCUACGGGAGGCAGCAGUGGGGAAUAUUGCACAAUGGGCGCAAGCCUGAUGCAGCCAUGCCGCGUGUGUGAAGAAGGCCUUCGGGUUGUAAAGCACUUUCAGCGGGGAGGAAGGCGGUAAGGUUAAUAACCUUAUCGAUUGACGUUACCCGCAGAAGAAGCACCGGCUAACUCCGUGCCAGCAGCCGCGGUAAUACGGAGGGUGCAAGCGUUAAUCGGAAUGACUGGGCGUAAAGCGCACGCAGGCGGUCUGUUAAGUUGGAUGUGAAAUCCCCGGGCUUAACCUGGGAACUGCAUUCAAAACUGACAGGCUAGAGUCUUGUAGAGGGGGGUAGAAUUCCAGGUGUAGCGGUGAAAUGCGUAGAGAUCUGGAGGAAUACCGGUGGCGAAGGCGGCCCCCUGGACAAAGACUGACGCUCAGGUGCGAAAGCGUGGGGAGCAAACAGGAUUAGAUACCCUGGUAGUCCACGCUGUAAACGAUGUCGAUUUGGAGGUUGUGCCCUUGAGGCGUGGCUUCCGGAGCUAACGCGUUAAAUCGACCGCCUGGGGAGUACGGCCGCAAGGUUAAAACUCAAAUGAAUUGACGGGGGCCCGCACAAGCGGUGGAGCAUGUGGUUUAAUUCGAUGCAACGCGAAGAACCUUACCUACUCUUGACAUCCAGAGAACUUAGCAGAGAUGCUUUGGUGCCUUCGGGAACUCUGAGACAGGUGCUGCAUGGCUGUCGUCAGCUCGUGUUGUGAAAUGUUGGGUUAAGUCCCGCAACGAGCGCAACCCUUAUCCUUUGUUGCCAGCGAUUCGGUCGGGAACUCAAAGGAGACUGCCGGUGAUAAACCGGAGGAAGGUGGGGAUGACGUCAAGUCAUCAUGGCCCUUACGAGUAGGGCUACACACGUGCUACAAUGGCGUAUACAAAGAGAAGCGACCUCGCGAGAGCAAGCGGACCUCAUAAAGUACGUCGUAGUCCGGAUUGGAGUCUGCAACUCGACUCCAUGAAGUCGGAAUCGCUAGUAAUCGUAGAUCAGAAUGCUACGGUGAAUACGUUCCCGGGCCUUGUACACACCGCCCGUCACACCAUGGGAGUGGGUUGCAAAAGAAGUAGGUAGCUUAACCUUCGGGAGGGCGCUUACCACUUUGUGAUUCAUGACUGGGGUGAAGUCGUAACAAGGUAACCGUAGGGGAACCUGCGGUUGGAUCACCUCCUUACCAAGAAG
Molecule: ribosomal RNA, 1550 nt
Filed under: Pectobacterium brasiliense
Lineage: Bacteria; Pseudomonadati; Pseudomonadota; Gammaproteobacteria; Enterobacterales; Pectobacteriaceae
Description: bacterial SSU rRNA
Rfam family: Bacterial small subunit ribosomal RNA
Source: RNAcentral